RNAcentral lists this ribosomal RNA (942 nucleotides) under Salmonella enterica subsp. enterica serovar Stanley. Its description in RNAcentral is "partial 23S ribosomal RNA". It matches the Rfam family "Bacterial large subunit ribosomal RNA", at positions 1243 to 2167 of the family's 2925-position model. The record is from RNAcentral. Lineage: Bacteria; Pseudomonadati; Pseudomonadota; Gammaproteobacteria; Enterobacterales; Enterobacteriaceae.
GUAAGCCGUUGAAGGUGGCCUGUGAGGGUUGCUGGAGGUAUCAGAAGUGCGAAUGCUGACAUAAGUAACGAUAAAGCGGGUGAAAAGCCCGCUCGCCGGAAGACCAAGGGUUCCUGUCCAACGUUAAUCGGGGCAGGGUGAGUCGACCCCUAAGGCGAGGCCGAAAGGCGUAGUCGAUGGGAAACGGGUUAAUAUUCCCGUACUUGGUGUUACUGCGAAGGGGGGACGGAGAAGGCUAUGUUGGCCGGGCGACGGUUGUCCCGGUUUAAGCGUGUAGGUGUGUGUUCCAGGUAAAUCCGGUUCACUUUAACACUGAGGCGUGACGACGAGGCACUACGGUGCUGAAGCAACAAAUGCCCUGCUUCCAGGAAAAGCCUCUAAGCAUCAGGUAACAUCAAAUCGUACCCCAAACCGACACAGGUGGUCAGGUAGAGAAUACCAAGGCGCUUGAGAGAACUCGGGUGAAGGAACUAGGCAAAAUGGUGCCGUAACUUCGGGAGAAGGCACGCUGACACGUAGGUGAAGUGAUUUACUCAUGGAGCUGAAGUCAGUCGAAGAUACCAGCUGGCUGCAACUGUUUAUUAAAAACACAGCACUGUGCAAACACGAAAGUGGACGUAUACGGUGUGACGCCUGCCCGGUGCCGGAAGGUUAAUUGAUGGGGUCAGCGCAAGCGAAGCUCCUGAUCGAAGCCCCGGUAAACGGCGGCCGUAACUAUAACGGUCCUAAGGUAGCGAAAUUCCUUGUCGGGUAAGUUCCGACCUGCACGAAUGGCGUAAUGAUGGCCAGGCUGUCUCCACCCGAGACUCAGUGAAAUUGAACUCGCUGUGAAGAUGCAGUGUACCCGCGGCAAGACGGAAAGACCCCGUGAACCUUUACUAUAGCUUGACACUGAACAUUGAGCCUUGAUGUGUAGGAUAGGUGGGAGGCUUUGAAGCGUGG